This 1045-nucleotide long non-coding RNA is filed under the name Cricetulus griseus (Chinese hamster). RNAcentral describes it as "lncRNA (ENSCGRG00015039604.1)". The record is from RNAcentral. Lineage: Eukaryota; Metazoa; Chordata; Mammalia; Rodentia; Cricetidae.
CUUGAAUGACUCAGAGGGUACUGAGAAUAUUUCUUGAGCAACAGUUUCUUGUUGGGGAAUAUUAUUUUAAGUUGUGUGACUUUUGAUUAUGCUGCAUUUGUUUAAUUCUGGAAAACUGUGUUACUGUGCCUGUCCAAAACACCCGGUGGUCCUAAUAAAGAGGUGAAUGGCCAAUAGCAAGGUGGGAGCAAGGAUGGGUGGGGCCAGCAGGCAGAAAGGAUAAAUAGAAGGAGAAUAAGGAAGAGGAGAACAAGAACAACAAGAGAAGGACAUCAGGGGCCAGCCAUCCAGCCAUCCAGCCAUCCAGCCAUCCAGCCACCCAGCCACUCAGCCACCCAGCAACCACAGAAAAGAAGAAUGACCAUGAAACUAAUUUGCUGCUCCACCGUAACCGUCCCAAGUGUCAAGCCAGCCACAGGACACUUUCUGCUGAGCUGCUGUUUCUUCAUGAUGUUGGCAAACCCUCGGGAUGCCAUAGGGUCCACAGAACAUUCUCUUCUGGACAAAGAUUCUCUUUCUAAUUUAGCCUUGGAAGGACAAACUCCAUGAUUUUGGGCAGACCAGUUCAAUGCAGCACUCAGCAGCUGACACUGAUUUAUUUGGCUGAUAUCACAUGACCUGUCUCUCGAAGAGAAUGAGAUUGAAGAUUACCAGGUACAGGACCCAUACAAUUGUCACUAUGAAGAUCUAAAGGGGCAUAUCAAACUAAACGGUUCCUCUCCAGAGCAUCUCCCUGGACUUGCUGUACCUUCCUCACACCCCUGCACUACAACAGUCCACUCUUAUAGCUCUCAGCUUGACCACACUUAUCAGUUCCUAUCCUUUCUCUUCAUCCCAUGGAAAAUAAAAAUGUUCCAAAGAGAUACAUCAACUGGUUUCUAGUUACAGAAGAAAAACAUACCGAUUAUUCCAAAGGGACAUUUGCAUUUUAAAGAAAGACAAGUAUGUCAGAGGGUAGCCCUAUCUCCUGGUCUAUGCUAAUCCCUGACUCUCUAGGUACUGGAAUCUCAUGCCAGCAGCUUCCCCUGUUCCUCCACACUCUACA